GGGGAAUUAGCUCAGUUGGCUAGAGCACCUGCUUUGCAAGCAGGGGGUCAUCGGUUCGAAUCCGUUAUUCUCCA
RNAcentral lists this transfer RNA (74 nucleotides) under Finegoldia magna. RNAcentral describes it as "tRNA-Ala". It matches the Rfam family "tRNA". From Rfam's summary of the family: Transfer RNA (tRNA) molecules are approximately 80 nucleotides in length. Their secondary structure includes four short double-helical elements and three loops (D, anti-codon, and T loops). RNAcentral also lists the same sequence under 3 other names. The record is from RNAcentral. Lineage: Bacteria; Bacillati; Bacillota; Tissierellia; Tissierellales; Peptoniphilaceae.